Non-coding RNA from Hordeum vulgare subsp. vulgare (domesticated barley), 137 nucleotides. The record is from Rfam. NCBI's taxonomy places the organism in Eukaryota, Viridiplantae, Streptophyta, Magnoliopsida, Poales, Poaceae.
UAAAUACUCCUUUCGUUCUAAAAUUCUUGUCUUAGAUUUAUUUAGAAAUGAAUGCAUCUAAAUAUUAAAAUAUGAUUAGAUACAUUCAUAUUCAGACAAAUCUAAGACAAAAAAAAUUAGCACGAAGGGAGUAUAUG